RNAcentral lists this long non-coding RNA (886 nucleotides) under Zea mays. RNAcentral describes it as "long non-coding RNA (ZMAY_LNC004131)". Lineage: Eukaryota; Viridiplantae; Streptophyta; Magnoliopsida; Poales; Poaceae. The record is from RNAcentral.
AGUAAUCAAUAAUCGUGACUUCAUUUACUACAGUACUUAGCUGUGUCGUUUAUAUUACUCACAACAUUUACCAAUCAUUUUAACGCAAACUAAUAGCCAGAUACUCGGUCAGUACGUGUGAGUAUUGUCGCGAAGCUGCAGGAUCCGAUUCUCGGACGACGACGGCAUCGUCGGCAUGGCAGGAAGCCAGAGGAAGGGGACGCGACGGCGGUCUCCUGAUCGCAACGAGUCUGCCUCAAGGCUCGCCUGAAGCAGACACCGCAGCUGCCGCGGCAUGUGCGGCCACUGUCGCAUGAAUGGUGUGGCGCACGUCGAUGUUCCUUGUUCUUCGCCAUCGUUCGUCUCCGAUAGAUCCCAGCCACAGGCCACAGGCCACAGGCGCCGGAGGAGGACAUCGAUGUCGCUGUUGAGAGUUGAGACAAUGGAGACGACCAACCGAAUUUGGCAGCUGGGCUGGCAGCGGAUCGCCCGAAGGCCUGCUUUCUUUCAUUCUUCACGCCCGCGAAUCCACCGCAUAGAGGACUGUUCGCUCGCUCGGGCGCGCUGGGCCUGGACACAUCCGCCCGCGGGCCGUUUCGAAGCAAUGAGAGGAAUUUGCCUGUCGUUCAAUUUGGUGACCACACUCGGUUGGCCGGAAACCACUGCAAUGUCCGACUCGACUGUACUACUCAGUGAGGAGAAAGAACAAUAGGAACACGAGCGAUUAUAACGGGAUUAAUUUUUGCCUAUUUUUUUUGGUUGAGGAUGGUAUACGUGUUUACAUACGUCCCGAUCGACUUGUAUAAUGUUUAUUUUCAUUCAGCAAACUGCAUAUAGAGCACGUAAGAUGAUAAAUCAAUAAUACAUUACCUGAAAUCGAUCAGAGUCAGACAAGCAAGUUGAGUUG